Molecule: long non-coding RNA, 1949 nt
Filed under: Triticum aestivum (bread wheat)
Lineage: Eukaryota; Viridiplantae; Streptophyta; Magnoliopsida; Poales; Poaceae
Description: long non-coding RNA (TAES_LNC011274)
Source: RNAcentral
CCCAGCCGGUGCCAUCCCAAGUUGCCUCUAAUUAUCUACUAGACAGGAAACGAUUGUCUAUUGAUUUCUUGAUAUUGAUGAGGAAAGCUACACCACUUUUCUCAUUUGCUGGGACAUCUGAGAAAUGAUAACUUCACAAUGUGCUUUGUGAAAAAUACUGAAAUUCUUGCAAGGAACCACCUACUAAAUAGCAUUUUUAGUGCAUCGAAGAUUUACCUGAUCUCGUAAUAUCUCUGUUCCAACAUGUGGUGUCAACAUGACAUGAGGAUGGAAAUUUUCAAAACUGUGCCAUCAAGGAAUGGAAAGUAUCAGUUUCAUCAGGAGCUAGGAACGACCAGAAGAAAGAAAGAGCACUUUGAUGUGGCUGUAGUUUGGACUAUCUUGUGCUGAAUCCCCGUACGUGGCACCAUACCUGUCCAUGUUCAAACCCAGCCCCUGUUUAUUUAGACUCAUCGAUUUAUAGUCCUGUUCAAUCCCCGGAAUCUCUCAUCAUUAGGCUCUCCUCUUCGUGUAAAAGUUCAGUUGGUAUACAACCUUGCUGAGUUUGAUCUGGAAACAGAAGCAGUACUACAUCAUCCUCCAGUUGGUGCUGCUCUCCUGGUCGUCCUCACGGCCGCGGUGGUCUUUCCGUCUCUGCUCCAUAGAGAUAAUUGUUAUAAUUUUCAGGAUUAAUUCAGGAGCUGUAUUUUAUUAUCAACUUUCAGCACAUUGCCUUCAUGGAUAUGCAUAAAUGUUGGAGAAAUAAAUUGCAGAAAUAAGAAUGAUGCUAAUCAACUAGCAUUUGCACUUGGAUUUCAUCACUGUGCCUUCAAUACAUUAGAUACUAAAUGCACGCUUUACACUUCAAUCUAAAACAGUUUUAUCUGCUGACACUGUAAAAAUGACACUUCCCUUUUGGUGAACCCGUAUGAAAAUAUGCCUAUUUUAAUAGACUAAAUUGGACAUUUAUGAAAACGACAGGAGAAUCAAAAUCCUCUAAUCACCGAUGUAUUUAAGGUAAGAAAGUGAUUUCUCAUCACAAGUAGUUAAGCCCACUCCCAACAUUCUGAAAACAUAAGACCUCUUGUCAUAUAUAUGCUGCUAUGAUAAUGGAAAAUGUUGAUACUCUUCUCAGUAUAAUAGUUGUGGCUCUGAAGAGACUGGAGUGAAAUCGUAAAUAAAAGUUUAGCCUAUUAGCUGCUGGCAACUUUCUGCUCAGAUUCAAGUUAACUUGGCUCCUGAAAGAUUUCUAAAUGCUUACUAUAGGUUCACACUUGAAUUGGGUAUAAUAAGUUUCAGAGUUCACACAUGAAGUUUGAAAGAUUCAUGGAUAACGUUCAGCUCUGAUUCAAAUUCAGACUUCAGACUUCAGAGUACAAAAUUUACAUACCACCUACAUUUUACAUGCAUGAGUGACUCAUUCAGAUUGUUUAUAUCCAAGUGAAGAUGCACCAAAAUGUAGAAAAUUGAUUAAAGCACCAGAUGAUGCUAGUUUAUUCAAAGCUAUAGUACAAUACUAGAAGGAUUACUUAACUUGCAAGAUGCAACAAAGAGAAAAGUAGGAGCUUCCCUGAAUAAAACUCAUGCAUUGUCAGGCCAUACUUGUUGCUGAAGCUUCAGGGCGUCAUCAACUAACAGAGACUUCAGAAUAAUGUAUAGUACAGCAAAGCCAUUGCUGCCAUUAUUCGUCUAGUUUCCUGGAAGAAGAAAAAAAGCACCAUCUACAUCCACUUUCAGCACAUCUUCACCUGGAAGAAAGAAAGCACCAUCCACAUUCAGUAAAUCAGUAUGCUUCUAUUGCCUAGCCCUUUUUUUCUUGAGGAAAACUCAACAUCUUCUCACCUGGUGGUAAGUCACUUCAUCAUUCGACCUGUUCCCCUCACCUACAUUUCAUUAAUCUUGUUUCUAUAAUUUCAACAAGCACCAGAAAAGGGACCAUCUCCUUUGCCUUACUGCAAGCACACACCAGA